UCUUUGUGAAGCAAGAGAGAGGUGAGAGGAGAGAUGAGAAGCAGAGAGAAAAAGGAAAGAAAGAUAGUGAGACUGAAAAAUAGGAAAGAAAUGAAAAAAAAAAGAAAAAGAAAAAAAUGGUAGAGCAAGAAGAGAGAAAAAAAAUGGGACAGAAAAGCAAAGCAAGAGAGUAACAGAGAUUUAUCAUUAACCAAGAGACCUACGGAUCAGGACCAGAUGUGUAUUGAACCUUACUGAGAGCCCAAUAUGUUUGGUAAACAUUGGUGAGAGCAACAGGGGUAAGGGAUAAUAUGGCAUCCUUGCUGUUUGAUGAUGGUCUUGGAGUGAAAGAGUACAAACUUGUUUAGAUAUACUUCGACAAUACAAAGUGUGUUAUACAUUCAUUUAACAGUACAGACUUGCUGUAGGUCACAUUCUUCAAAUAACUACAGGUUGCUUGACUACCUAGAAUCAACAAUGACACUUGAUUGUUUGUUUUAUCAGCCACAAGGGUGACAGUUGAAGGCAACAUGACAACAACAAAUUACAAAAAUAUGUAUAGAGUUAUAUUAUAGAAGCAAGCGUGAGGAAACAGAAAGGAAGACCAAUAGGGAAACAACCAACAAGGGCCAGAUCAGAGAACCUACACAACCUUUACUGCCAAGAACAGGUACCUUCUCACAGUCAUAGUCCACAGAAAUCAUCAUCAACAUCAUCAUAGUUAUAAUGUCCACUUUUCCAUGCUUACAUGGAGUGAAGGUGUACAAUCGUAAGGUCAUCAGUUCGAUUUCUGGCAGCACAUUGUGUCCUUGAGCAAGACACUUUAUUUCACAUUGCUCAAGUCCACUCAGCUGGCAAAAAUGAGUUGUACCUGUAAUUCAAAGGACUAGCCUUGUCACAUUCUGUGUCAAGCUGAAUCUCUCUGAGAACUAAGUUAAGAGAACAUGUGUCUGUGGAGUGCUCAGCCACUUGCACAUUAAUUUCACAAGCAGGUUGUUCCGUGCAUCAGAUCAACUGGAAUGGUCAUCAUCGUAACUAAGCCAGUUCAUGGAGUGGAUGAAAUUCUUUUCCAUGCAGAUUUUCUAUGUCCAGUUACUCUCCCUGUCAUUAACACUCAUUUACUUCCGAGUAAGAUAGUCCCCUAUCGUCAGAUAUGUUUUUGCAGAAUCUUGGAAAUGAAUAACACUGAUAGUAUAACAGUGACCCUAAUAAGACUUUGCUUAUAUGCUGAUGACCUUGCUCUUAUUGCAGAAUCUUUAGCAGUAUUGGAGAAGAAAUUCCAGGUACGGAAACAAAACCUUGAAUCAAAGGGCCUUAAAGUUACCCAAGCAAAGACCAAAGUUGUUAGUAAGAAAGAGGAUAAAACUCUCUUUCCGUCAGGUAAAUGGCCCUGUUCAAUAUAUGAGAAAGGAGUUGGAAGAAAUUCCAUUCGCUGUACCCAGUGUAAACUAUGGACACACAAGAGGUGCAGUGGAAUCACAAGUAGAUUAACAGAUAAAGUUGUCUAUAUAUGUGGCAGAUGUGCUGGAAUAAUAAGCACUAAGAGCACAUGCGACUUAGAUUCUCUCAAAUGUCCAGGAGCCUCUCUUGCCAUUGUAGAUAGUUUCCGUUACCUAGAUGACCAAAUUAGCAAUGGUGGCAGAUGCUCUGAAAGUAUUGUUUCUAGAAUAAGAAUUGGGUGGAGGAAGUUCAGAGAGUUAUUACCUCUGUUGGCAACAAAAGGACUAUUUCUCAGAGUGAAAGAUAGGCUGUAUGAUGCUUGUGUGCAAACGGCUAUACUCCUUGAUAGUGAGACAUGGGCUAAUGAUUGAAACAAGUAAAAGAUAAAAGAUACAAAUCUCCCACAACAAUAAGCCUGUUCUACCCGAAAACAAAACAGGAACUCGCCACCAAAGAAAAGUGCACUCGACAGAAGGAAAAACCAGUAGCGCCAGCAGAGAGCUCCUUCAAAUGCAGUCGCUGUAUGCAUGACUGCCACUCCCAUGUGGGCCUGUGCAGCCACAACAGAUGCUGCACCACCAUCAGCAGCUGACACGAUUUCUUUAGGGACAGAUCCAUGACAUCUCAAGACCGAUGGAUACCUACUACUACUCAUGAAGGGUACUUGCUUUGACUUUGCAAGCUGCAAGGUGACCUCCAAUAGUGCUGGUGCAAAAAAAAAAAAAAACUCAAAACACACUGUAACUGAUUAGCAAUCAAUUCAAACAAAAACAAUGCAGGGUUUGAAGGAAUUUUUUGGCUUUGCUAAUGGCAAAGCAACCCCUAUAGUGUCAGUGCCAUGAAAAAUUGCAUCCAGUACACUCAGUGAAAUGGUAUGGUUGCUAUUAGGAAGGACCAUUGAAGGAAGGCCCAUCAAAACCAUGAUGAAAAUGUAAAAAAAUUAGAUUGAAUCAAGAUGUAAUCCUCCAACCAUUGAAUCCUGUUGAACUGUCCUACCUAUACCAGCAUGGAGAACAGACAUAAAAUGAUGAUAAAUAAACAUGUUUUAA
This is a long non-coding RNA of Octopus bimaculoides (California two-spot octopus), 2468 nucleotides long. RefSeq lists it as uncharacterized. Lineage: Eukaryota; Metazoa; Mollusca; Cephalopoda; Octopoda; Octopodidae. The record is from RefSeq and is a predicted model, not a curated record.